GAUGAACGCUGGCGGCGUGCCUAAUACAUGCAAGUCGAGCGAACAGAUGAGGAGCUUGCUCCUCUGACGUUAGCGGCGGACGGGUGAGUAACACGUGGAUAACCUACCUAUAAGACUGGGAUAACUUCGGGAAACCGGCGCUAAUACCGGAUAAUCUAUUGAACCGCAUGGUUCAAUAGUGAAAGACGGUUUUGCUGUCACUUAUAGAUGGAUCCGCGCCGCAUUAGCUAGUUGGUAAGGUAACGGCUUACCAAGGCAACGAUGCGUAGCCGACCUGAGAGGGUGAUCGGCCGCACUGGAACGGAGACACGGUCCAGGCUCCUGCGGGAGGCAGCAGUAGGGAAUCUUCGGCAAUGGGCGAAAGCCUGGCGGAGCAGCGCCGCGUGAGUGAUGAAGGUCUUCGGAUCGUAAAACUCUGUUAUUAGGGAAGAACAAAUGUGUAAGUAACUAUGCACGUCUUGACGGUACCUAAUCAGAAAGCCACGGCUAACUACGUG
This 497-nucleotide ribosomal RNA is filed under the name uncultured bacterium. RNAcentral describes it as "partial 16S ribosomal RNA". It matches the Rfam family "Bacterial small subunit ribosomal RNA", at positions 28 to 507 of the family's 1533-position model. The record is from RNAcentral.